This 450-nucleotide ribosomal RNA is filed under the name uncultured bacterium. RNAcentral's name for it is "partial 16S ribosomal RNA". It matches the Rfam family "Bacterial small subunit ribosomal RNA", at positions 354 to 796 of the family's 1533-position model. The record is from RNAcentral.
GUGGGGAAUUUUGGACAAUGGGCGCAAGCCUGAUCCAGCAAUGCCGCGUGCAGGAAGAAGGCCUUCGGGUUGUAAACUGCUUUUGUACGGAACGAAACGGUCCGGGUUAAUACCCUGGGCUAAUGACGGUACCGUAAGAAUAAGCACCGGCUAACUACGUGCCAGCAGCCGCGGUAAUACGUAGGGUGCAAGCGUUAAUCGGAAUUACUGGGCGUAAAGCGUGCGCAGGCGGUGCUGUAAGACAGGCGUGAAAUCCCCGGGCUCAACCUGGGAAUUGCGCUUGUGACUGCAGUGCUGGAGUGCGGCAGAGGGGGAUGGAAUUCCGCGUGUAGCAGUGAAAUGCGUAGAUAUGCGGAGGAACACCGAUGGCGAAGGCAAUCCCCUGGGCCUGCACUGACGCUCAUGCACGAAAGCGUGGGGAGCAAACAGGAUUAGAAACCCCAGUAGUCC